AUACAUGCAGUCGAGCGAACUGAUUAGAAGCUUGCUUCUAUGACGUUAGCGGCGGACGGGUGAGUAACACGUGGGCAACCUGCCUGUAAGACUGGGAUAACUUCGGGAAACCGAAGCUAAUACCGGAUAGGAUCUUCUCCUUCAUGGGAGAUGAUUGAAAGAUGGUUUCGGCUAUCACUUACAGAUGGGCCCGCGGUGCAUUAGCUAGUUGGUGAGGUAACGGCUCACCAAGGCAACGAUGCAUAGCCGACCUGAGAGGGUGAUCGGCCACACUGGGACUGAGACACGGCCCAGACUCCUACGGGAGGCAGCAGUAGGGAAUCUUCCGCAAUGGACGAAAGUCUGACGGAGCAACGCCGCGUGAGUGAUGAAGGCUUUCGGGUCGUAAAACUCUGUUGUUAGGGAAGAACAAGUACGAGAGUAACUGCUCGUACCUUGACGGUACCUAACCAGAAAGCCACGGCUAACUACGUGCCAGCA
RNAcentral lists this ribosomal RNA (480 nucleotides) under Bacillus cereus. RNAcentral's name for it is "bacterial SSU rRNA". It matches the Rfam family "Bacterial small subunit ribosomal RNA", at positions 51 to 513 of the family's 1533-position model. The record is from RNAcentral. Lineage: Bacteria; Bacillati; Bacillota; Bacilli; Caryophanales; Bacillaceae.